AUGAACGCUGGCGGCGUGCCUAAUCCAUGCAAGUCGAGCGAACGGACGAGAAGCUUGCUUCUCUGAUGUUAGCGGCGGACGGGUUAGUAACACGUGGAUAACCUACCUAUAAGACUGGGCUAACUUCGGGAAACCGGAGCUAAUACCGGAUAAUAUUUUGAGCCGCAUGGUUCCAAAGUGAAAGACGGUCUUGCUGUCACUUAUAGAUGGAUCCGCGCUGCAUUAGCUAGUUGGUAAGGUAACGGCUUACCAAGGCAACGAUGCAUAGCCGACCUGAGAGGGUGAUCAGCCACACUGGAACUGAGACACGGUCCAGACUCCUACGGGAGGCAGCAGUAGGGAAUCUUGCGCAAUGGGCGCAAGCCUGACGGAGCAACGCCGCGUGAGUGAUGAAGGUCUUCGGAUCGUAAAACUCUGUUAUUAGGGAAGAACAUAUGUGUAAGUAACUGUGCACAUCUUGACGGUACCUAAUCAGAAAGCCACGGCUAACUACGUG
RNAcentral lists this ribosomal RNA (496 nucleotides) under uncultured bacterium. RNAcentral describes it as "partial 16S ribosomal RNA". It matches the Rfam family "Bacterial small subunit ribosomal RNA", at positions 29 to 507 of the family's 1533-position model. The record is from RNAcentral.